RNAcentral lists this ribosomal RNA (492 nucleotides) under uncultured bacterium. RNAcentral describes it as "partial 16S ribosomal RNA". It matches the Rfam family "Bacterial small subunit ribosomal RNA", at positions 29 to 507 of the family's 1533-position model. The record is from RNAcentral.
AGUGAACGCUGGCGGUAGGCCUAACACAUGCAAGUCGAACGGCAGCACAGUAAGAGCUUGCUCUUACGGGUGGCGAGUGGCGGACGGGUGAGGAAUACAUAGGCAUCUACUUUUUCGUGGGGGAUAACGGAGGGACACUUACGCUAAUACCGCAUACGACCUACGGGUGAAAGCAGGGGAUCUUCGGACCUUGCGCGAUUGAAUGAGACGAUGUCGGAUUAGCUAGUUGGCGGGGUAAAGGCCCACCAAGGCGACGAUCCGUAGCUGGUCUGAGAGGAUGAUCAGCCACACUGGAACUGAGACACGGUCCAGACUCCUACGGGAGGCAGCAGUGGGGAAUAUUGGACAAUGGGCGCAAGCCUGAUCCAGCCAUACCGCGUGGGUGAAGAAGGCCUUCGGGUUGUAAAGCCCUUUUGUUGGGAAAGAAAAGCAGCAGGUUAAUACCCCGCUGUUCUGACGGUACCCAAAGAAUAAGCACCGGCUAACUUCGUG